This 475-nucleotide ribosomal RNA is filed under the name uncultured bacterium. Its description in RNAcentral is "partial 16S ribosomal RNA". It matches the Rfam family "Bacterial small subunit ribosomal RNA", at positions 28 to 507 of the family's 1533-position model. The record is from RNAcentral.
GAUGAACGCUGGCGGCAGGCCUAACACAUGCAAGUCGAGGGAUAAGCCUUGGGGCUAAGACCGGCGCACGGGGGCGUAACGCGUAUACAAUCAGCCUUUUAUCCUGGGUAUAGCCCGAAGAAAUUUGGAUUAAUACGCUACUGUAUAAGAGCACGGUAUCGUGCCGUUAUUAACGCUACGGCGGUAAAGGAUGAGUAUGCGUUCUAUUUGCUAGUGGGCGAGGUAACGGCGUUCCAAGGCGACGAUAGAUAGGGGUUCUGGGAGGGAUGUCCCCCACACUGGUACUGAGAUACGGACCAGACUCCUACGGGAGGCAGCAGUGAGGACUAUUGGACAAUGGUCGGAAGACUGAUCCAGCCACGCCGCGUGCAGGAUGACGGCCUUAUGGGUUGUAAACUGCUUUUGUAAGGGAAGAAUAAGAGGUACGUGUACUUUGAUGACGGUACCUAACGAAUAAGCAUCGGCUAACUCCGUG